This 162-nucleotide ribosomal RNA is filed under the name Eurotiales sp. RNAcentral's name for it is "partial large subunit ribosomal RNA". It matches the Rfam family "Eukaryotic large subunit ribosomal RNA", at positions 99 to 261 of the family's 3401-position model. Lineage: Eukaryota; Fungi; Ascomycota; Eurotiomycetes; Eurotiales. The record is from RNAcentral.
CGGCAACAGCUCAAAUUUGAAAUCUGGCCCUCGGGUCCGAAUUGUAAUUUGUAGAGGAUGCUUUUGGUGAGGUACCUUCCGAGUCCCCUGGAACGGGCCGUCAUAGAGGGUGAGAAUCCCGUAUGGGAUGGGGUGUCCGCGACCAUGUGAAGCUCCUUCGAC